This 103-nucleotide microRNA precursor is filed under the name Marmota monax (woodchuck). The record is from RNAcentral. Lineage: Eukaryota; Metazoa; Chordata; Mammalia; Rodentia; Sciuridae.
CAUAGGAUUACUGGGUCAUAUGGUAGUUUUAUGUUUAAAUUUGUAAGAAAUUACAAAACUUUUUUCCAAAGUAGCUGUGCCAAUUUGCAUUCCUACCAGCAAG